GGCUUUGUAGUCUAAUUUGAAAGACGUCAGGCUGCAAUCCUGAAGAUGUAAUUGAACCUUGGCUU
This 65-nucleotide transfer RNA is filed under the name Leptalpheus forceps. Its description in RNAcentral is "tRNA-Cys". It matches the Rfam family "tRNA". From Rfam's summary of the family: Transfer RNA (tRNA) molecules are approximately 80 nucleotides in length. Their secondary structure includes four short double-helical elements and three loops (D, anti-codon, and T loops). Lineage: Eukaryota; Metazoa; Arthropoda; Malacostraca; Decapoda; Alpheidae. The record is from RNAcentral.